This 408-nucleotide ribosomal RNA is filed under the name uncultured bacterium. RNAcentral's name for it is "partial 16S ribosomal RNA". It matches the Rfam family "Bacterial small subunit ribosomal RNA", at positions 28 to 526 of the family's 1533-position model. The record is from RNAcentral.
GACGAACGCUGGCGGCGUGCCUAAUACAUGCAAGUCGAGCGAAGCGGCGGAUGGGUGAGUAACGCGUGGGUAACCUGCCCUUAAGUCUGGGAUACCAUUUGGAAACAGAUGCUAAUACCGGAUACUAAAGGAUGGACCUGCGAUGCAUUAGCUAGUUGGUAAGGUAACGACUUACAAAGGCGAUGAUGCAUUGAAGAGCUGAGAGACUAAUCGGCCAACUUGCAAAUGAAAAACGACCCAAACUACAACGGGAGGCAGCAGUAGGAAAUAUUACACAAUGGACGAAAGUCUGAUGGAGCAACGACGCGUAAGUGAAGAAGGUUUUCGAAUCGUAAAGCUCUGUUGUAGGUGAAGCGGUAAUCAACCCGAAAGUCACGGAUAACUACAUGACAGCCGCCGCGGUAAUAC